GCUGUUGGGAAUUGUUUGGAUCGAUUUGCCAGGGUUUUACAACUCUCCAACGAUCCUGCUCCUGGAUAUAAUAUAGAGCAGCUUGCUAAGAAAGGAGAACAAUUUAUAGACCUUCCUUACGUUGUCAAAGGAAUGGAUGUUUCUUUUAGUGGCAUAUUGAGCUUUAUUGAAGCUACCACAGAGGAGAAGCUUAAAAAUAAUGAAUGUAC
This 209-nucleotide unclassified non-coding RNA is filed under the name Hevea brasiliensis (rubber tree). The record is from RNAcentral. Lineage: Eukaryota; Viridiplantae; Streptophyta; Magnoliopsida; Malpighiales; Euphorbiaceae.